Molecule: ribosomal RNA, 801 nt
Filed under: uncultured bacterium
Lineage: Bacteria
Description: bacterial SSU rRNA
Rfam family: Bacterial small subunit ribosomal RNA
Source: RNAcentral
CGAGUGGCGGACGGGUGAGUAAUGUCUGGGAAACUGCCUGAUGGAGGGGGAUAACUACUGGAAACGGUAGCUAAUACCGCAUAACGUCGCAAGACCAAAGAGGGGGACCUUCGGGCCUCUUGCCAUCGGAUGUGCCCAGAUGGGAUUAGCUAGUAGGUGGGGUAACGGCUCACCUAGGCGACGAUCCCUAGCUGGUCUGAGAGGAUGACCAGCCACACUGGAACUGAGACACGGUCCAGACUCCUACGGGAGGCAGCAGUGGGGAAUAUUGCACAAUGGGCGCAAGCCUGAUGCAGCCAUGCCGCGUGUAUGAAGAAGGCCUUCGGGUUGUAAAGUACUUUCAGCGGGGAGGAAGGCGAUAAGGUUAAUAACCUUGUCGAUUGACGUUACCCGCAGAAGAAGCACCGGCUAACUCCGUGCCAGCAGCCGCGGUGAUACGGAGGGUGCAAGCGUUAAUCGGAAUUACUGGGCGUAAAGCGCACGCAGGCGGUCUGUCAAGUCGGAUGUGAAAUCCCCGGGCUCAACCUGGGAACUGCAUUCGAAACUGGCAGGCUAGAGUCUUGUAGAGGGGGGUAGAAUUCCAGGUGUAGCGGUGAAAUGCGUAGAGAUCUGGAGGAAUACCGGUGGCGAAGGCGGCCCCCUGGACAAAGACUGACGCUCAGGUGCGAAAGCGUGGGGAGCAAACAGGAUUAGAUACCCUGGUAGUCCACGCCGUAAACGAUGUCGACUUGGAGGUUGUGCCCUUGAGGCGUGGCUUCCGGAGCUAACGCGUUAAGUCGACCGCCUGGGGAGUACGGCCGC